AGGACGAACGCUGGCGGCGUGCUUAACACAUGCAAGUCGAGCGAGGCCCUCCCUUCGGGGAGGUGUCCUAGCGGCGAACGGGUGAGUAACACGUGGGCAACCUGCCCUCAGCUCUGGGAUAACCCCGGGAAACCGGAGCUAAUACCGGAUACGACCUCGGAAGACAUCUUCCGAGGUGGAAAGAAUUUCGGCUGAGGAUGGGCCCGCGGCCUAUCAGCUUGUUGGUGGGGUAACGGCCCACCAAGGCGACGAC
This 253-nucleotide ribosomal RNA is filed under the name uncultured bacterium. RNAcentral's name for it is "partial small subunit ribosomal RNA". It matches the Rfam family "Bacterial small subunit ribosomal RNA", at positions 26 to 280 of the family's 1533-position model. The record is from RNAcentral.